This 468-nucleotide ribosomal RNA is filed under the name uncultured bacterium. RNAcentral's name for it is "partial 16S ribosomal RNA". It matches the Rfam family "Bacterial small subunit ribosomal RNA", at positions 28 to 507 of the family's 1533-position model. The record is from RNAcentral.
GACGAACGCUGGCGGCGUGCUUAACACAUGCAAGUCGAACGGAAAGGCCCUGCGUUUGUGGGGUGCUCGAGUGGCGAACGGGUGAGUAACACGUGAGUAACCUGCCCUUCACUUUGGGAUAACUUCACGAAACUGGGGCUAAUCUCGGAUAGGAGCCCCUGCUGCAUGGUGGGGGUUGGAUAGUUUCGGCGGUUGGGGCUGGACUCGCGGCUUAUCGACUUGUUGGUGGGGUAGUGGUUUACCCAGUCUUUGACCGGUAGGCGGCCUGGGAGGGUGACCGGGCACAUGAGGACUGAGAGAGGGCGCAGACGCGAAUAGUAGGCAGCAGGGGGGAAUAUUGCACAGUGGUCGCAAGCCUGUGGAGAAAACGCCGGGUGUGGGAUGACGGCCUGCUGGUUGUGAACCGCUUCCGCCUGUGACGAAGCGGGAGUGACGGUAAUGGGUGAAGAAGCACCGGCUAACUACGUG